Molecule: ribosomal RNA, 468 nt
Filed under: uncultured bacterium
Lineage: Bacteria
Description: partial 16S ribosomal RNA
Rfam family: Bacterial small subunit ribosomal RNA
Source: RNAcentral
GACGAACGCUGGCGGCGUGCUUAACACAUGCAAGUCGAACGGAAAGGCCCUGCUUUUGUGGGGUGAUCGAGUGGCGAACGGGGGAGUAACACGUGAGUAACCUGCCCUAGACUUUGGGAUAACUUCAGGAAACGGGGGCUACUACCGGAUAGGAGAUGCUGCUGCAUGGUGGGGGUUGGAAAGUUUCGGCGGUUGGGGAUGGACUCGCGGCUUAACGGCUUGUUGGUGGGGUAGUGGAUUACCAAGGAUUUGACCGGUAGGCGGCCGGGGAGGGUGACCGGCCACCUUGGGACUGAGGUACGGCCCAGUGUCCAACGUGAGACAACGGUGGCAAGUAUUGCACAAUGAGCGCAAGCCGGUUGCGGCGGCGCCGCGUGUGGAAAGACGGCCUUCUGGUUGUAAACCGCAUCCGCUUGUGACCAAGCUGUAGUGACGGUAAUCAGUGAAUAAGCACCGGCUAACUUCGUG